GACGAACGCUGGCGGCGUGCUUAACACAUGCAAGUCGAACGGAAAGGCCCUGCUUUUGUGGGGUGCUCGAGUGGCGAACGGGUGAGUAACACGUGAGUAACCUGCCCUUGACUUUGGGAUAACUUCAGGAAACUGGGGCUAAUACCGGAUAGGAGCUCCUGCUGCAUGGUGGGGGUUGGAAAGUUUCGGCGGUUGGGGAUGGACUCGCGGCUUAUCAGCUUGUUGGUUGGGUAGUGGAUUACCAAGGCUUUGACCGGUAGCCGGCCUGGGAGGGUGACCGGCCACAUUGGGACUGAGAUACGGCCCAGCCUCCUACGGGAGGCAGCAGUGGGGAAUAUUGCACAAUAGGCGGGAGCCUGAUGCAGCCACGCAGCGUGCGGGAUGACGGCCUUCGGGUUGGAUACCGCUUUCGCCUUUGACGAAGCGUGAGUGACGGUAAUGGGUAAAGAAGCACCGGCUAACUACGUG
Molecule: ribosomal RNA, 468 nt
Filed under: uncultured bacterium
Lineage: Bacteria
Description: partial 16S ribosomal RNA
Rfam family: Bacterial small subunit ribosomal RNA
Source: RNAcentral